Molecule: unclassified non-coding RNA, 350 nt
Filed under: soil metagenome
Description: partial contains 5.8S ribosomal RNA, internal transcribed spacer 2, and large subunit ribosomal RNA
Rfam family: 5.8S ribosomal RNA (bases 1-120)
Source: RNAcentral
GAUGAAGAACGUAGUGAAAUGCGAUAAGUAAUGUGAAUUGCAGAAUUCAGUGAAUCAUCGAAUCUUUGAACGCACAUUGCGCCCGCCAGUAUUCUGGCGGGCAUGCCUGUCCGAGCGUCAUUUCAACCCUCGAACCCCUCCGGGGGGUCGGCGUUGGGGAUCGGCCCUUUACGGGGCCGGCCCCGAAAUUCAGUGGCGGUCUCGCCGCAGCCUCUCCUGCGCAGUAGUUUGCACACUCGCAUCGGGAGCGCGGCGCGUCCACAGCCGUUAAACACCCCAAACUUCUGAAAUGUUGACCUCGGAUCAGGUAGGAAUACCCGCUGAACUUAAGCAUAUCAAUAAGCGGAGGA